CACUCCGCCAUUUUCCUCCGGAAGUGUGGCACCCAGAGGCGGUCCUGUAGCUGGGCCGGCUUGGGGCUUGGUUCUAUGUCCCUGUGGCUAUGUUUCCAGUGUCCUCUGGGUGUUUCCAAGAGCAACAAGAAACGAAUAAAUCUCUGCCAUAGGAGUUUUAGCCAAUUCAGAGGCCUUGCUCCCUACAAUUUGGAACAUUCCUUUGGAUUUGACCAAGUCAGGAAGAG
Molecule: long non-coding RNA, 227 nt
Filed under: Homo sapiens (human)
Lineage: Eukaryota; Metazoa; Chordata; Mammalia; Primates; Hominidae
Description: HSALNT0319533
Source: RNAcentral